UUUCAAGAAGAAUAAUGUACUCUGAAGUUAAUCAACAUAGAUUAAAAAGAGAUGAUUUUGUCUAUCAUGGGCUUACAAUUUCAGGAUGACAUAUAUAGAGUUUAAAGUAAUUUGGAAAUAUGGGAACAGCAACUUUUGACAAAGAGAAACACAAGGUAUAGCUGAAAUAGUGAGGAGUGAGAAUCUGUGAGUGAGAGGGAAAUGUGGUCACGAGGAAAAUGUCAGCAUUUAGGGGAAGUGAAAGGGAAAAUGAAUCAAAGAACACACAGAAUUAUCUUUCAUGAGAACAAGGAGGACACUGUACUCCAGAAAAUAAGGAAAACAACCUUCUUCCCAGAGAAAAACUUUGAGAUACCUGCUACGGACUCAGAAAGUAAAACAAGACAAAAUGAAACACAAAUUACAGAAAUGAAGAAGGCUGGCUCAAGGGAAAAUGAGAAUGAAAAUGAAAUGAGGAUAUCAGAAAGAUUUACUGGGAAGAGAAUGAAAUGUAUCCGAAGUCUGAUGUCUCCAUUUGAAUGCUUCAGAAUCAUGGGCUACAAGCCACAAAAUUCAUAAUAAAUGUGCUGCAAGGUUAUACAUGAGAGAACAGAAGUCUGGAGGACCUUCUCAUCUCUGUGAGCACCUAGCAUAGUACUUUCU
RNAcentral lists this long non-coding RNA (642 nucleotides) under Sus scrofa (pig). Its description in RNAcentral is "lncRNA (ENSSSCG00025033028.1, ENSSSCG00035032838.1, ENSSSCG00070014916.1)". Lineage: Eukaryota; Metazoa; Chordata; Mammalia; Artiodactyla; Suidae. The record is from RNAcentral.